This 406-nucleotide ribosomal RNA is filed under the name uncultured bacterium. RNAcentral describes it as "partial 16S ribosomal RNA". It matches the Rfam family "Bacterial small subunit ribosomal RNA", at positions 30 to 526 of the family's 1533-position model. The record is from RNAcentral.
AUUGAACGCUGGCGGCAGGCCUAACACAUGCAAGUCGAACGAGUGGCGGACGGGUGAGUAAUGUCUGGGAAACUGCCUGAUGGAGGGGGAUAACUACUGGAAACGGUAGCUAAUACCGCAUACCAUCAGAUGUGCCCAGAUGGGAGUAGCUAGUUGGUGGGGUAACGGCACACCCAGGCGCAGAUCCCUAGCUGGUCUGAAAGGAUGACCAGCCACACUGGAACUGAGACACGGUCAAGACUCCUACGGGAGGCAGCAGUGGGGAAUAUUGCACAAUGGGCGCAAGCCUGAUGCAGCCAUGCCGCGUGUAUGAAGAAGGCCUUCGGGUUGUAAAGUACUUUCAGCGGGGAGGCGUUACCCGCAGAAGAAGCACCGGCUAACUCCGUGCCAGCAGCCGCGGUAAUAC